CAUGUGUCUCUGAAAACUCUCGUGCUGCUGUAGUGGAUUGGCAUCAUUUUCUCUCUGUGUUUUGUAGUGCAAGUGAUAAAACCAGUUUUGACUCCAGUGUGCAGAUUUGUACCCCCUGAGCUAGGAAACGUGGAUGUUUGAAAUCCAGCAGCAGUUCCUGCCUCUCUUGUGUUAUGUAGAGAGCAAAGGCACAGUGGGAGAGAGGAAGGAAAAAUACAUUCAGGUACAGAUGAAGGGCAGAUGAAGACCCUCUGUUCCAGUGAACUCAGAGCAUGGGCACCAUCUUCAUUGUCUUGAAAAAAGGAAAAAACAGAGAAGUACAAAGGGAGUUUGAAGAGCCCUGUGAUCCCAAGGGGCUGCUGGCCCCUUCUUUUAGCAGCUUUUGAGAUUAAGAUCCCUGUGAUUAAACCUGGUCUAUCAGCUCAUUAUUGCAUCUCCUGGCACCACUGAGCAAAUGGGCUGACACAGCACAGCUCCCUGCUGACCUCCCAGCAACGGCUGAUUGACUUUGCAAGGAUUUUUCAUUUCAGAAACAUUUGCAAUUUCCUGAAAUGACUCCAAAGAAUCACAUCAUUUUAUUUCAUAUUCGUGUUUGCUUGCAUCAGUUAUUUUGGGGGUAGGAAAGGAGGGGAUGAAAUUGUUUUAUAUAAAUAAGUUGAAUGUAUUUCAUAGCAAGCAAUGUUCUGACCCUGGCACUAUUGCCUUUCUACCCUUCUAUAUUGAAAUUCAUUGUGCUUGGAUAUCUCUGGUUUCCCAGAAUCCCACUGUUUCAUUUGUUUUGCUAUGCAGAAGUAUCAUUAUAGCUCACUUUAUGCCUUUUGUUAAGAAUUAGCACUCCUGAGAAUCAAAAAUGAAGAUGUGAAUGUUCACACAAUUAAAUAAUUGCAGGUAUUAACAAUGAGUUGUCCACCCACAGGCUCAGCAGGUGCUGGAGCAAUCGGCUGGGAAAUGGAGUAUUUCUGGACCUGGGCAUGUGUUCCCAGAAACCUGGUAAUUGAGGCAACAUGGAUUUUGGAAUGCAGAACAUCAGAACUACCAAACAUGCCCUGGAACAGAGAAUCACUACGAUACUCACCUUGUGCCACAUUGCAACUGAAUUUUGAAGCUGCCAAGGGCCAGGACAGUCCUGUGAAAUUCACUGACAGCUGGAUGGACUUGGGAGGGAGAACACAUCUGAUGGGUGAGCACUCAGAAAUUGAGUUUCUAUUGUGUCUGGUAGUGCCAAGACUCCAAACUACAGGCUGUUCCCCCAUCAGUUUAAUGAUUACAGGUUGAACAUUUGUAUCUGAGCUCACUCCCCUAACACUCUGGGCAUUUACUGGAGCUAUCAAGUUAAUUGUUCAGCAAGUCACAGCUCUAGGGAAGGUUAGUGUGGCAGGCAGGAUUGUCAGUCACAGGAACCUCUCUCCCCCAUUCCCUAUCCUCCUCCAUGCUGGCAGCUCAGGCUAAGGCCUAAUAUUAAUGAGAAGACUUCCCAUUCACAAUGUGGCAGGGAAACCAGAUUUGUGGCAAAGAAACACAAGGAGGAACACAGGCUAGACUAUCUCUGGUGGACAGGGCAACAGUGAGUCUAUACUUGCCUCUUCAGCAAAGAACAAGAAAGGAUUGUAUCCUUCUCCUCAUUAUCCUCAUCUAAUGUCCUUCCAACCCAGCUGAGCCAGACCAGAGGGAAAAUUAAAGAAGUAAA
This 1687-nucleotide long non-coding RNA is filed under the name Cyanistes caeruleus (blue tit). RNAcentral describes it as "lncRNA (ENSCCEG00000012822.1)". The record is from RNAcentral. Lineage: Eukaryota; Metazoa; Chordata; Aves; Passeriformes; Paridae.